This 552-nucleotide ribosomal RNA is filed under the name Pezizomycotina sp. QZ-5-5. Its description in RNAcentral is "eukaryotic LSU rRNA". The stretch from base 170 to 323 matches the Rfam family "5.8S ribosomal RNA". The record is from RNAcentral. Lineage: Eukaryota; Fungi; Ascomycota.
UGGGUCCAACCUCCCACCCGUGUCUAUCGUACCUUGUUGCUUCGGCGGGCCCGCCGUUUCGACGGCCGCCGGGGAGGCCUUGCGCCCCCGGGCCCGCGCCCGCCGAAGACCCCAACAUGAACGCUGUUCUGAAAGUAUGCAGUCUGAGUUGAUUAUCGUAAUCAGUUAAAACUUUCAACAACGGAUCUCUUGGUUCCGGCAUCGAUGAAGAACGCAGCGAAAUGCGAUAAGUAAUGUGAAUUGCAGAAUUCAGUGAAUCAUCGAGUCUUUGAACGCACAUUGCGCCCCCUGGUAUUCCGGGGGGCAUGCCUGUCCGAGCGUCAUUGCUGCCCUCAAGCACGGCUUGUGUGUUGGGCCCCCGUCCCCCUCUCCCGGGGGACGGGCCCGAAAGGCAGCGGCGGCACCGCGUCCGGUCCUCGAGCGUAUGGGGCUUUGUCACCUGCUCUGUAGGCCCGGCCGGCGCCAGCCGACACCCAACUUUAUUUUUCUAAGGUUGACCUCGGAUCAGGUAGGGAUACCCGCUGAACUUAAGCAUAUCAAUAAGCGGAGGAA